GGAUGUGGCUCAAGUGGUAGCGCGCUCGCCUGGCAUUCGUGUGGCCUGGGUUCGAUCCUCAGCACCA
RNAcentral lists this transfer RNA (67 nucleotides) under Marmota monax (woodchuck). RNAcentral describes it as "tRNA.Ala". The record is from RNAcentral. Lineage: Eukaryota; Metazoa; Chordata; Mammalia; Rodentia; Sciuridae.